UUUUUUUUUACAGCUUUACAGUAUCUGGCAUGCCCUGGUGAAUGAGCUAUUGCCUGGGGUUUCUGGGUUUUAUUUUUUUGAGAUACAGUUUUGCUCUUGUUGCCCAGGCAGAGGUUGCAGUGAGCCGAGAUCGCGCCACUACUCCAGCCUGGGCAACAAGUGAAACUGCAUCUCAAAAAAAAAAAAAAAAAAAAAAAACCACCAGUAUUUUUGUACAAUUAAAACAAAAAGCCCACUUUCAGAUGAAAACUUCAGGUGUAAAAGUACAAGAUAACGAUGAAUUCUGAAGGCCAGCAUAAUUCACACACUGGACUUCUUAAGAAAAAAAAAAAUCACAAUUUGAUGCUAAUUGGGAUUCGUUUGAUGAAAUCAGUGCCUAGUGAGUAGCGGGUAGGUCCGACAGCAGGAACAAGGCGGCAGCACUCCUGCAUGCUGGCUGGGAUGGCCUCGCCGCCAUCUCUUGUAUCAGACACCUGGCCAUGGGUGAGGAAAAGAAGUGCCUUUCUGAUCGUCCUGCAUAAAUGGAGAGGCCCAAAACCAAGAGUCAUUUCUCCCACAGAGAAAAGGGCUUUUCUUAAAGUUUUACCAGUCUGAAAGGGAUUGUUUGAUACCUGACAUUAAUGAACAGAGACUGAAGAAAGUGAAACAAACUUCUCAUUGUGCUUAAUACUCUAUUUCUAAACUUAUAAAACAAAAAGAGAAUGAUCUGUAGAGGCAAAAGAUAGUAACAGUCAUUGGAAGUGGCCUCUCGGAUCCUUACAUUUGUCUCUGUUUAUCCAAAGAGCUGCAGCGGUGGCGUAAGUAGUGUUGACCUGGACAUCACUUAAAGCUCUGGAACAGCAAAGGGCGUACAGUGGAGACGACUGCAAUACAUACUUAACAGUUUAAAAAUGUAUAAUAUUUGGGACAGGGAGAGGGGAGUGAAAAAAAUAAAGAAUAAAAUUAUUGGAAUCUAAAAUAAUGAUACAGGAAGUAAACGUAUUAUUAAUAUAGACAGAUCUGGUUCUGUCUGGAUGUUCUUGGCUUGCUCUCAGGAGCAACUGAGAAUUAGAGAAAAACUAGUUUUGUUUAACCAUAAAGUUGUUAUUCAAGGAGAUGUGAAGAUGACAAAGUUCAUCACUAAAAUUAAGAAGUCACUUCUCAGUAAAAAGCUAGUAUCUCAUUACCAUUCAGCUAUAUGAGAUACCAGACUACUACCUAUAUGUUGAUACAGGAAAGUAUCUGAAUUGGCAGAAAAUAAGCCCACAUCAGGCCCUUCCCCUUAGUUUCUUUGGGGCCCUUGACCAGAUCUUGAUAAGGUGUGAGAAACACAAGAGCUAAGGAUGGGCAUUCGAGUUGCAGGUAAGCCUCCGAAAAAAAGCUUACAAAUAUUUUUAAGCUGAUUUUUAAAAUAGCACACUAACUAUAAUGUUAAAUCACAUUUUAUACAUCUUAAUUGAGUAUAAUAAUGAACCGGUGGCUAAUGUAUCAUCUCUUCCUGGAAACUUUUCAGAAUCCCACCCCUAUCUAUCCCUUUCUCAAGAGUUUCUGUGCAUUACUGAGAAAUUCCUCUCCAUUUGUUAGGGUUGUUUUUGGCUGGUGGGUUUUCUGUGUCUCUUCAUCUCAUCAAACUAUUCAGUGUCUGAUUUUUUGACUUCUGCUUUGGCCCACAGAGAGUAACUUGGAUACUUACAGGUAGAAAAAGCUUUGAGGAAAUUUAGGCAACGUUGAUGGAUAAGUGUUUCCCCAACCUCCUUUCUAACGUAGAGGGUUAGUUAUAUAUCACACGCACACACCCGUCUGUCUCAGCUUUGCUUGUGGUGUCCUCAUGCCAAAAUACAUGAGGUCAGUUCCUCUUAUGUCCCAGCUCUUUUAAAACUACAGGAAUGCUGGGUGCGGUGGCUCACGCCUGUAAUCCCAGCACUUUGGUAGGCCAAGGCGGGCGGAUCAUGAAGUCAGGAGUUCAGGAUCAGCCUGUGCAAUGUGGUGAAAUCCAUCUCUACAAAAAAAAAAUUGUAAAAAGUAGCUGAGCUCAGUGGCACACGCCUGUAGUCCCAGCUACUCAGGAGGUUGAGGCAGGAGAAUCACUUGAGCCCAGGAGGCGGAGGCUGCAGUGAGCUGAGAUUGUGCCAUUGCAUUCCAGCCUGGGUGAUGGAAGUGAAACCUUGUCUCAAAAAUCCCAAAAAACCUACAGGAAAGCCACAGCCAGCAUGUGUUGACUUGUAUGUCGUUUCUCUCUCUUCUCAAAGCUGGAAUGCUGGGGCUACUUUUUACCUACCUUUUCUAUUCCCAAUCCCCUGCUCCUUUCCAUCCCUAGUGGGAGUAAUUUAAUUCUGCAACAAAUUCUCAUAGUUAAGGUAUUCAGCAAUAUAUCCCUGUAUCCUAGAAUUCUCUGUAAGGAAAAAAGUUGUGGUUGAGGGGAAGAGUUCUACAUUCAGUUAUUUUAGUUUAAUAUUACUAAGAACUUCAUUGGAACCCAGAACAAUCUUCCCUGCCGAAAGAGCUUUGUGCCCAUUCUCUGUGAAUGCUCUUUAGGAGAGAUGCUUAAGGAUUCUCUCCACACCUCCCCAUGUGUCCUUACUCAAGACCAGAAACUCUCAAGGUGAGAAGGUAGAUGAGAAUGACCUUCAGUAAUACCCUCUUUCCCGGUCCCCCAGUUCCCUCGAGCAGGGGCAGCAGACCCCACUGUGACCCACGGACCAAAGCCAGCCCACUGCCUUGUUUUUGUAUGUAGUCAAAAUGUACAAAAACAAGCCCUGCUCAUUUGGUUAGGUGGCAUCCAUGGCUGUUUCACACAACAACAGCAAAGUCGAGUAGUUGCGACAGAAACCAUAUGCCCUGAAAAGCUGAAAAUAUUUACUAUCUGGCCUUUACAGAAAAAUUGUGCCGACCCCUGCCCUGGAAGAGCACAGUACCUCCAUGCAUUGGUGUGGCGAAGACGACUGGGGAUUGCCGCUCUAAAACAUGUUUGGAUUAGGAAGCACGUUUAAGUAGGAGAAGCCUUCGUGACUUCUCUCUAGUGCCUUCGUGCCCUGUGUUGCCCACUGAAUUGCCCUGUAACACCUAAGUGUAGUGGUAGCAUUAAGGGAUAGCUUUUCAGCCCUCAAGGUUAUCAGGAGCAUUUGUAUCACUGCUAUAAAUAAAGUAGUAUCACUUGUCA
RNAcentral lists this long non-coding RNA (3139 nucleotides) under Homo sapiens (human). RNAcentral describes it as "HSALNT0391576". Lineage: Eukaryota; Metazoa; Chordata; Mammalia; Primates; Hominidae. The record is from RNAcentral.